Molecule: long non-coding RNA, 919 nt
Filed under: Setaria viridis
Lineage: Eukaryota; Viridiplantae; Streptophyta; Magnoliopsida; Poales; Poaceae
Description: long non-coding RNA (SVIR_LNC010063)
Source: RNAcentral
AUGCUGAUGAGAUGCUUGUCGCCGUUGCAUGAUUCGAGCUCCUCCUCCGUGCCUUCUUCGUCGAUGCUGAGCUGUUGUCCGCCAUGGGAGACAUGGAGAGCUUACCGCCGCCGACGAGGAAGGUCGGGGACAGCUGCCUUUCGUAGCGGAUCCAAAGGGUGGGUGAGAGAAAGGAGGAGAGAGUACUUCACUCGGCCAUGGAGGAGCCAGGCCCGGUGGCUGCCCAUCUCCCACGUGGGCUCCUCAACUUCCAACCUCCACCACGGAGCCCGUAGAUACAGCGAUGCCCGCCGCUACCGCCGAUGUCGAGGUCCACGCGGAGGAACUCGCCCUCUUCGGAUCCGGGGUCAACUUCUCACGGGUGGCCAUAGUUGGCAGGUCGCGGGGUCUCGAGCUCCACCAUGAAGCUCAUCUCCACCAGAUCUAGCCGAGGACGACGCUGUGCGGGCUUCAACUCCACGGAUCCAACAACCUCCUCCAUGCCGGAACGGAGAAGGCCAGCCUCUCCUUCACCGGAGGAGAGAGAUAGUAGUCAUGGGUGGGUGGAGAAGAAAAUGGAGAGAGGGUGUCGGUUGGGAACUAAGGCGGUCAUGUGGGAUUGAAAAGGCAACGAGCACUGUUAAAGGAAACUAGUCUAUUAUCAACCCGUACUACGCAUGGACUAAUAUUUUUAAAAGUUAUCAUAUUUAAAAAUUAUUUAGAAAUUAAACUCCUAGCUAAUAAUCAAAAUUGUUUACGUAAUAAUUUCUUAUUUUCCAAUACUUCAACAUAAUACUUAUAUAGACAUUUACUUAUCUUUAUCUAGUUGUGUUUGAUUUUUAAUUAGUAAUUACUCUAUAUAUUUUUUCAUCCACAUUCACACUUUAUCAUUUUGUAUCGCACCUCCAUACAUUGUGUUUAGCAUGAAAAUCAAUAUUUU